UGCUUCACCCCCUCCCUGCAGUGGGGAGAAAGUUAACCACGCUUUCCGGAGACUCCAGGGAUGACUGUUCAUUUCUGAGAGGCAACUGGGGACUGGCAGUCUUGGCUGCCUGCUGGUGGCUAUUAUGCUUCUGGGUGGGAGGGUUGAGCAGCUUCCCCAACCUCAUAAGCUUCAGCCAUGCUCUGUGGCUGACCUUGUGCCAAUUCACUUCCUGUAACUGGUAUAUUUUUAUCUCAUCCUUGUAAUCAGCGACACCAACUGCAUCUCCAGCUGCAAGGAAGAAGAGAACUUCUGCCAGAUCAGUCAGCACAGCGCCCGAAGAUAAACUCUGUAUAGUCUGUACCUGAGACCUUCUUGAGUCAAGUCCUUUGCCCAGAUGAGCCUGGGGUGCUUUGAUCUGGACCCAGAUCCCUCCCUCGACAGCACAGCCCAAGAGUCCAGCCCCAAGACCCGGGUCCUGGCUCCAGUGGCCCUUCCAGUGCUGGGCUGCAGCAUCAGCCAGGCUUUUUUUCCUGAGGUGCUGAAAGCAAGAAAACUGUCUUGUGAACCAACAUUUGCAUUUCUUACAUCUCUAGAUUUAAGUCUCUAAGGACACUUGAAAUGUCAGGGCCCUUGUGACAGCAGCCAAGCUAUUAGCAGGUCCCCUGCGGCUGGUGAGUACCAGUACUGAGCAAGUAACAAUUCCACAUGUGGAAUCAUAGAAUCAUAGAACAGUUUGGGUUGAAAGAGACCUUAAAGAUCAUCCAGUUCCAACCUUGCUGCCAUGGACACAUUCCACUAGGUCAGGUUACUCAAAGCCCCAUCCAAUCAGGCCUUGAACACCUCCAGGAACUGGGCAUCCGUGACUUCUUUUGGCAACCUGUUCCAGGGCCUCACCACCCUCACAGUAAAAAAAUGUCUUCCAAAUGUCUAAUCUAAUUGUACCCUCUUUCAGUUUAAAGAGUCAUUGUCCUGUCACUGCACUUCCUCAUAAAGAACCGCUUCCCAUCUUUUCCUGUAGGCUCCUUUUAAAUACUGAAAGGCAGCAACAUAGCAUAUUUUGUCCCACAUCAGUUUAAACUUUUUAAUUUUCUGUGUCCAUGAACCACAUAAAGGAAGAUCUCACUGCCUUGUUACUUUAGUGUUGUAUUACAUGCACACCUGCAGUAAAUACGGGAGACACAGAUCUGUUUGUUAGUUUCUAUCUGUAAAUUCUAGCCCAGAAAAUUAGGGACACCUGCAAGACCAAUCCACCCAAAGUCAAGAGGGAGCCUUUAAGGUGAAAGGUUUUCCAGAACAAGCCUUCUCAUUGCAAAAGGCUAAAUUAUUGCUCUCAUGUGAUUUAUAGUGCAAAGGCUUUCAGUCUGACAGAGGACCUGGAAUAUUCAGCAUUAAUUCAGAAACAGAGACACAUGUUGUUGAUACACUAUAUCGCUGCAGAAUAUAUAGUACCAGAGUACCUGCACAUACUUUACACACCAAGAGAUUAUCCUGAAUGUGCUAUUAAUGUAUGUACAUAUAUUUGCUAUUAUUGGCAUAAUUCACAAGCACAAAAUGAAUGUAGCUUCAACAAAGCCCUCUAGCUGCUCCAUCAAUUACUCUUCAUUUUCUACCUGUGACUUGUAUCUGCUUCUAUCUUCACAGAAACAAUACACAAUGAGAGAUGGGCAUAAAUUAAUUUAUGGCUUCACCACAAAUUAAGUCUUAGGGUAUGUGUAUGUAAUCUUUAGCAUUGCAAUGAAACUACUCAAGACAGCAAGGUUCCUCACUGCACAGAAAGAACUGGUGUUCAGUCUUGAGUGCCUGCAGCACUUCUCCCCAGAGAAUGGCUGGACAGACCCGUGGCCCAUUUCCUAUUCACAGCCUAGAAAAAAAUGUGCCUCCUAUGAGAAAGCCCAGACCAUCUUAACCCUCACCCAGAUAUAUCAGCAGUUUGAAUGUUCUAACCUUAGUUGCUCCUCUCUGUUCUCCCUGACCACCAGUUCAGCCUUUGCACCUCUCCUGCCUCUGGAGUCCACAACACCAAGUUGGUGAAGAGUCUAGAGUGAAAAUCGUAGGAGGAGUGGCUGAAGUCACUUGAUCUGUUCAGCCUGGAGAAGAGGAGAUCGAGGGGAGACCUCAUAGCAGUUUACUGCUCCCUCACAAAGGAAGGAGGAGGAGCUGAACUCUUCUCUCUGGUGACCAACAAUAGGACCCGAGGGAAUGGCAGGAAGAUGUGCCAGGGGAGGUUUAGGUUGGAUAUUAGGAAAAAGUUCUUCACUCAGCCAGUGGUGGAGCACAGGAACAGGCCCCUCCUAGAGAAAUAGUCAUGGCACCAAGUCUAACAAUAUUCAAGAAACAUUUGGACAAUGCAUUCAGACACAUGGUGUAAAUUUUGGGGUAGUCAUUUGCAGCAAUAAGAAUUGGACUCGAUGAUCCUUGUGGGUCCCUUCCAACUCAGGUCAUUCUGUGAUUUUGUGAUUCCGUUACACCAGUGCUUGCUUACUGGUUUGAGAGACUGCCUGCUAGCAGAACAGACCAGCACUAAGCCCUGUAACUCUGUGUCCCAUGACAGUCUCCUUUCUUGCCCCAAAUCUGCACCUUUUACCCCUGCCCCACAGGGAACUGGAGCUGUGGCGGUAGCCACCAGAGAUGGAAAGAGUAAUGAAAUGUACUCAACACAAUGCUGGGAGAGGCCUAGGAAGAUUAGGGUUUAUAUGUCUGUUUUCCUAACAACCUCAUGCAGAUUCUCAGCACUGUUAGUAAAUACCUCAUGCUACCACAGGAAGAUUUGACAUCCCAGAGCCUGCUUCUGGGAAGCACCGUGUGCCCCUGGAGCCACCCCAGCGCUUAGGCAUCCUGGCAGCACUUGGGAUGCCACAGGAUUGGGCUCCCCAGCUUAGAUCAGAGGGCGCAGUCCAGGGUAGCACAAAAAACAAAGGGCGAAGCUACAGGAAUGUAUAUAAGGGAAAAAAAUGACAAAACAAGGCAUGCCAGGAUUACUCCCGACUGAGGCUCACUGAAAAUGUAAUUAUGACCCAGACAAUUUUGCCAGCACUGGUAGUAGCUGGGACAAGCAUUUGGUCUCAUUUUUUUGUACCAAAAGAAGGCAUGGAGUUCUGCGCGGAAUAAUGUUAAGGGUUGAUUGAUUGCAGAUUAAGAGCCUGAAUAAAAGCUUAAUGACGUCAAUGGAAAGAUUCUCAUCGGCUUGAGCCAGCCGCAAGACACUGCUCGACUGGUGCAACGGGAGGCUUUUUUUUUUUUUCAAAAUGCAAUUGUUUUAAUAUUAAAGCUUCUGUUGGACAAACAGAUCUCAUAGAAACAGAAAUUAAAAGAGACCCUGAACAAAAGAACAGAUUUAGCUGCCCAAGAUUGCUAUUUUAGUGUGUUUGCAUGUUUACAUGAUGUUUCACAAUAGUGUGUUUUACUCUUUGCAUCACAUAGAGUGAAAGCUCAAGGAUGCUGGCGGACAGUUAGCUUUCUGAACUUGGGAGUUUCCCUAUGUAAAAGAGGUCUUUUUCAUACAGCAAAUGAAACAUUCUUUAUAAAGGUUUUUCUAUGCCUCUAAGGACCUGCCUGCUGUCAGGAAAAUAUUUACCAGCCCAGAGUGAUUCUUUUAGCCUCCACACUCACAGGACCGUGUUGUGCUUGGCAUAGGCGUUAUUUGCAGGAAAGACA
Molecule: long non-coding RNA, 3636 nt
Organism: Cuculus canorus (common cuckoo)
Lineage: Eukaryota; Metazoa; Chordata; Aves; Cuculiformes; Cuculidae
Exons: 3
Source: RefSeq, a predicted model, not a curated record